GACAUUCUAUAGGUAGCAAAGUCCACUUCUAAUUUUAUCAGAGUCUCUUCAUGAUCCAAUAUCUGAAAAUGGACACAGCUCAGGACUUAGACCAAUGUCUGGCACACAACAGAAGCUUAAUCAAUGUUUGUUGAUUAACAGACUGACAGCAUGUUCAAGGGUUGUGACUGUCAUUGUAUGUGGCUGAAGUUGGGAGGACACUCAUGGAUGCUCAGUAGGCUGAAGAACUGAAUGAAAGUGAGUGGCUGUGGUGUAUACUAUACCUGAGUGGAGAUGAUUUUGACAUCUCCUUCCAAGACCUUCAUUUGACACUC
Sarcophilus harrisii (Tasmanian devil) is the source of this 314-nucleotide long non-coding RNA. RefSeq lists it as uncharacterized. The record is from RefSeq and is a predicted model, not a curated record. Lineage: Eukaryota; Metazoa; Chordata; Mammalia; Dasyuromorphia; Dasyuridae. The transcript is spliced from 3 exons.